This 460-nucleotide ribosomal RNA is filed under the name uncultured bacterium. RNAcentral describes it as "partial 16S ribosomal RNA". It matches the Rfam family "Bacterial small subunit ribosomal RNA", at positions 338 to 795 of the family's 1533-position model. The record is from RNAcentral.
CCUACGGGAGGCAGCAGUGAGGAAUAUUGGUCAAUGGCCGUAAGGCUGAACCAGCCAAGUAGCGUGAGGGAAGACUGCCCUAUGGGUUGUAAACCUCUUUUAUGCGGGGAUAAAGGUGUCCACGUGUGGAUGUUUGCAGGUACCGCAUGAAUAAGGACCGGCUAAUUCCGUGCAAGCAGCUGCGGUAAUACGGGAGGUCCGGGCGUUAUCCGGAUGUAUUGGGUUUAAAGGGAGCGUAGGCCGGUCUUUAAGCGUGCCGUGAAAUUUUGGGGCUCAACCAUGAGAGUGCGGCGCGAACUGGAGACCUUGAGUGCGCGGAAGGCAGGCGGAAUUCGUGGUGUAGCGGUGAAAUGCUUAGAUAUCACGAAGAACCCCGAUUGCGAAGGCAGCCUGCCGCAGCGUUACUGACGCUGAAGCUCGAAAGCGCGGGUAUCGAACAGGAUUAGAUACCCCUGUAGUC